Molecule: ribosomal RNA, 273 nt
Filed under: Candidatus Mycoplasma turicense
Lineage: Bacteria; Bacillati; Mycoplasmatota; Mollicutes; Mycoplasmatales; Mycoplasmataceae
Description: Candidatus Mycoplasma turicensis partial 16S ribosomal RNA
Rfam family: Bacterial small subunit ribosomal RNA
Source: RNAcentral
GUAGCUGGUCUAAGAGGAUGAACAGCCACAAUGGGAUUGAUAUACGGCCCAUAUUCCUACGGGAAGCAGCAGUAGGGAAUCUUCCACAAUGGGCGAAAGCCUGAUGGAGCAAUGCCAUCGUGAAUGAUGAAGGCCAGACAGGUCGUAAAGUUCUUUUAGAGGGGAAAAAUUUGAUGGUACCCUCUGAAUAAGUGACAGCAAACUAUGUGCCAGCAGCUGCGGUAAUACAUAGGUCGCGAGCGUUAUUCGGAUUUAUUGGGCGUAAAGCAAGCG